This 518-nucleotide long non-coding RNA is filed under the name Prunus persica (peach). RNAcentral's name for it is "long non-coding RNA (PPER_LNC006477)". The record is from RNAcentral. Lineage: Eukaryota; Viridiplantae; Streptophyta; Magnoliopsida; Rosales; Rosaceae.
UUUAAUCUUCACUCAAAUCAAUCAUUUAUCAGUAAAUCUUUCACUAAUUUUUUUGUUACUGAUCAUGCUUUUUCAAAUAUGCAUAUGAUUGUGUUAGAUUGUGUGAAGAGGUUAAAAAGUGCUUAGGUUAGUAUUUAGGCCAAGAGUUUAGAGUUAGAAGAACUGAGAGGGUUUUAAAAUAGAAACAAAGAGAUUUGAUUAGAAAGGAGAGAAUGAUUACGGGGCUUGGUUAUAUAGGACUGUAGGCUAUGUUGCCUUCUAGUGGUUUUAGCUCUGGCUUCACAAGUUGUGCUUGAUUUGAUUACGUGGUGGGAGAGAUCAAGCGUAUGUAUAGAGUGUAUAGAAUGUUGCCUAGUUUAUGUCUUGUGCCGGCAACUUGGGAUAUCUCGACCAUUCUUAGCCACGUGUGUUUGUGGCUUGCAAUCUUCAUUUGUGUUUGUCAUUUGUAUUCGACCAAGUUAAUUAUUUUGCUACUUGGGACAUCUGCACCACCAUUCUUAGCCACAUGUGUAGUGUAG